AUUUUCCGGUUGAUCCUGCCGGAGGUUACUGCUAUCGAGGUUCGACUAAGCCAUGCGAGUCGAAUGUAGCAAUACAUGGCGUACUGCUCAGUAACACGUGGACAACCUGCCCUUAGGUUGGGUAUAAACCCGGGAAACUGGGUAUAAUCCCCUAUAAGUCUCGGCUGCUGGAAUGCACCGAGAUUAAAAGCUCCGGCGCCUAAGGAUGGGUCUGCGGCCUAUCAGGUAGUAGUGAGUGUAGCGUACCUACUAGCCUACGACGGGUACGGGUUGUGAGAGCAAGAGCCCGGAGAUGGAUUCUGAGACACGAAUCCAGGCCCUACGGGGUGCAGCAGGCGCGAAAACUUUACAAUGCUGGCAACGGCGAUAAGGGAACCUCGAGUGCCAGGUUACAAAUCUGGCUGUCGAGAUGCCUAAAAAGCAUUUCAUAGCAAGGGCCGGGCAAGACCGGUGCCAGCCGCCGCGGUAACACCGGCGGCUCGAGUGGUAACCGUUAUUAUUGGGUCUAAAGGGUCUGUAGCCGGCCGGAUAAGUCUCUUGAGAAAUCUGGCAGCUUAACUGUCAGGCUUUCAGGAGAUACUGUCUGGCUCGAGGCCGGGAGAGGUGAGAGGUACUUCAGGGGUAGGGGUGAAAUCUUGUAAUCCUUGAAGGACCACCAGUGGCGAAGGCGUCUCACCAGAACGGACCUGACGGCAAGGGACGAAAGCUAGGGGCACGAACCGGAUUAGAUACCCGGGUAGUCCUAGCCGUAAACGAUACUCGCUAGGUGUCGGCCACGGUGCGACCGUUGUCGGUGCCGUAGGGAAGCCGUGAAGCGAGCCACCUGGGAAGUACGGCCGCAAGGCUGAAACUUAAAGGAAUUGGCGGGGGAGCACCACAACGGGUGGAGCUUGCGGUUUAAUUGGAUUCAACGCCGGAAAU
This 921-nucleotide ribosomal RNA is filed under the name uncultured Methanosaeta sp. Its description in RNAcentral is "bacterial SSU rRNA". It matches the Rfam family "Archaeal small subunit ribosomal RNA", at positions 1 to 925 of the family's 1478-position model. The record is from RNAcentral. Lineage: Archaea; Methanobacteriati; Methanobacteriota; Methanomicrobia; Methanotrichales; Methanotrichaceae.